CCUACGGGAGGCAGCAGUAGGGAAUCUUCCACAAUGGGCGAAAGCCUGAUGGAGCAACGCCGCGUGAGUGAUGAAGGCCUUCGGGUUGUAAAACUCUGUCAUUCGGGACGAACCGGAGUCUGAGGAAAUGCAGACUCUCUGACGGUACCGGAGGAGGAAGCCCCGGCUAACUACGUGCCAGCAGCCGCGGUAAUACGUAGGGGGCAAGCGUUGUCCGGAUUCACUGGGCGUAAAGCGCGCGCAGGCGGUGAUGUAAGUCUGAGGUGAAAACCCGAAGCUCAACUUCGGGACUGCCUUGGAUACUGCGUCACUUGAGGAUAGGAGAGGCAAGGGGAAUUCCACGUGUAGCGGUGAAAUGCGUAGAGAUGUGGAGGAACACCUGUGGCGAAGGCGCCUUGCUGGCCUAUUUCUGACGCUGAGGCGCGAAAGCGUGGGGAGCAAACAGGAUUAGAUACCCUGGUAGUCCACGCUGUAAACGAUGAGUGCUAGGUGUAGGUGGGCUCAUACCCAUCUGUGCCGAAGCUAACGCAUUAAGCACUUCCGCGUGGGUUAGGUUACGGUCGCGAGACGNGAACGACGAAGAGUUAGUUAGGACGCGAGAGACGCGACGGACGGACGACGACGGAGGAGGUAG
RNAcentral lists this ribosomal RNA (634 nucleotides) under uncultured bacterium. Its description in RNAcentral is "bacterial SSU rRNA". The stretch from base 1 to 545 matches the Rfam family "Bacterial small subunit ribosomal RNA", at positions 338 to 873 of the family's 1533-position model. The record is from RNAcentral.